RNAcentral lists this long non-coding RNA (268 nucleotides) under Nicotiana benthamiana. RNAcentral's name for it is "long non-coding RNA (NBEN_LNC001484)". The record is from RNAcentral. Lineage: Eukaryota; Viridiplantae; Streptophyta; Magnoliopsida; Solanales; Solanaceae.
GGAAACAAACAAAUAAACACUAGGAAAAGAUGGUUCUUGAUACUCCUAAAAGAUCAACAAAAGGAUAUGCAACGAAACUCCAAAAAUCAAGGCAAUUCCUAAAUCAAUUAAAUAUGUGUGCGGGAGGAGGACGCACAGAGAAGCCAGUAUCGUGACUUCAAUUUACAAUAGUACAAACUGCAGCCCUAAAAGCACACUGGGGAAGGUUUAUAACAAGUUCAUCUCUCUUUUUACAUGCUUUGGUUUCGAUUCUUCCAUCUCUUCCUAG